CCAGCUUCAAAAUACAUGAAAAUUUGAAAGGUUGUUUACUUAUGUUAACUCAUCAUUGUGGAAAUUAAACAAUACUGGCCCUGUAUUUAUUUGGUAUUGGAUCUAAAAUUUAAAAGAAAUCGACUCAGUUAUGAAAAUAAGUGACGAUACCCAGCUGUAAGUUGGAGUACCCAGGGACAACAAUAUUUAAAGUUGGGUUUUUUCUGGGGUUUUUUUGCCUGUCCCGUUUGGUUCUUUUGCCAUCAGAAUUAUUGUCUAAAGGUGAAGAAAGAUGCCAAACGGAUUUACUUUACCAAAUAGACCAUCCCAGCUUUGCUGUAAUGGUCUAUUUGAUUUACCUUUUAUUGUUUAUUUUAUUUUAUUUUCACUUGCUAAAUACGGGACAGACUUGACUGUGAAAUAGAAAGAGGGAAAGAAAAACAAAAUUUAAAGUUAAUAGCUCACAGUUGUACUUUGACCUUUAACCUCUCUGCUCUGUGUUGUUUCCUCUUUCAGACCAGAAAAACAUUGCAGCUGAGUCUGGACAGAACAUCACUCUGCCAUGUGGAGCUCCAAACAAGAUUAUAGUUGUAGAGUGGAGCAGAGCUGAACUGGGAGAUGAAAAUGUGUUCAUUUACCAGGAUGGGCGACCUCUUGACGACCAGCAUCCAUCUUUAAAAGAACCGGGUGGAUCUGCAGGACAGACAGAUGAAGGAUGGAGACGUGUCUUUGAUUCUGAAAGAUGUGACGAUUAAUGAUGCUGGAACAUACGAGUGUCGUGUCCAGAGAGAGGGAGACGGUAUAAAGCUCAUCAACAGCAUCUACCUUCAUGUUGAUCCUCCAGCUCAGACAGGAGGAGACACAGAGGAUGUAGGAAACAAGGAGGAUGGACCUGGUGGACUGAUGUGCUUCUUGCUGCUGCUGUUGUUGGGUUUCCUGAUCUACAGAAAACAGAAAGAGUAACAGAGUGCACAUCAGGGUGGCUUCUCCACCAGUCAGGUUCCCCUGCUACAUGGGCAUCAACAUCCCAACCAAGGAGGAGCUCAUCGCCAACAAGCCGGAGUUUGAGGACAUUGCUGGUUAUAUUGGUAUUUAAACAUGAACUUCUACCAUUCAUUUCUUUGACAGGUCAGAACAAAAACUUGUGUUAAUGCUAAAGCUGUUUACAGGUGCUGACAGUGUCAAAUUAUUUAUAACCACCUAUGUAAUCUUGAUAUUUAAAAUGGAACAAUUUGUAUAUAUUAGUGCUAUUUAUUAAAUUUGUAAACUGUAACAUAUAGUGUAUUUUAAUAGUUGACUUUGUUGCUGUCUUGGAGCAGCUGUAAUCUCCUCAGGGAUUAAUAAAGUAUUCUGAUUGUGAAAUAACUGACUCGAGUUUGAAAGUGCAGCUGUAACGAGGACCUGUGCAGGUAAACUUAAGUGUUUUGUAGGCAGCGUGUAAUGAUGUACACGGUACCGUUUACUACAGAUAUCACAGCCACAUAAGUGUGCUAACACUCAGAAACCCAGUGGUAUUUCAUUAAAUGACUGGGGCACUGGGAAUGGUAAAUGUUUGCUGGUUCAUGAAUUUGAACUGAUUUGUGGUUUCUUGAUGUCGAAUUGAACUCAUGUAAGUUAGUUUUCAAAGCUGUAGACACACUGCUAAUACUUCCAUGGUGCUGCAGGUAUUGCUGCUGUGACUACUGUAGUAUACCUGAUAACGCAACUUUGCAGCGAAAACAAACCACGCAACGGCAAAUGCAAAAUGAAAUAUUGAAUCACGAGAUAAAACUGCAAACAUAAAUGCAAGAUUUCAAGGAAGUUCUGUCCUUGGCUUUAGACCUUCCUCUAAUUAAAAACAUUGUGGCUAAUAUUAUGGUUAAGACUUUGCUGUCUCGGGCUGAUUUGCACCUUGUGAAACCAG
RNAcentral lists this long non-coding RNA (1882 nucleotides) under Oreochromis niloticus (Nile tilapia). RNAcentral describes it as "lncRNA (ENSONIG00000024700.2)". Lineage: Eukaryota; Metazoa; Chordata; Actinopteri; Cichliformes; Cichlidae. The record is from RNAcentral.